AUUGAACGCUGGCGGCAUGCCUUACACAUGCAAGUCGAACGGCAGCAUAGGAGCUUGCUCCUGAUGGCGAGUGGCGAACGGGUGAGUAAUAUAUCGGAACGUGCCCUAGAGUGGGGGAUAACUAGUCGAAAGACUAGCUAAUACCGCAUACGAUCUACGGAUGAAAGUGGGGGAUCGCAAGACCUCAUGCUCCUGGAGCGGCCGAUAUCUGAUUAGCUAGUUGGGGGGGUAAAAGCCUACCAAGACGACGAUCAGUAGCUGGUCUGAGAGGACGACCAGCCACACUUGGACUGAGACACGGCCCAGACUCCUACGGGAGGCAGCAGUGGGGAAUUUUGGACAAUGGGGGCAACCCUGAUCCAGCAAUGCCGCGUGAGUGAAGAAGGCCUUCGGGUUGUAAAGCUCUUUUGUCAGGGAAGAAACGGUAGUAGCUAGUAUCUAUUACUAAUGACGGUACCUGAAGAAUAAGCACCGGCUAACUACGUGCCAGCAGCCGCCGUAA
RNAcentral lists this ribosomal RNA (502 nucleotides) under uncultured bacterium. RNAcentral's name for it is "partial 16S ribosomal RNA". It matches the Rfam family "Bacterial small subunit ribosomal RNA", at positions 30 to 523 of the family's 1533-position model. The record is from RNAcentral.